Molecule: long non-coding RNA, 795 nt
Organism: Lactuca sativa (garden lettuce)
Lineage: Eukaryota; Viridiplantae; Streptophyta; Magnoliopsida; Asterales; Asteraceae
Source: RefSeq, a predicted model, not a curated record
CCACCACAUAAAGCCCUACAUCCUAGAGGUAUCGACGCUUUUACUAGAGCUGCUCAAACUCAAAAUCAAUCAUCGGAAACUUCAUCGAGGGAUAAAGACGAGCAUUUAGCACUUAAAGCGGGAUUAAGAAAAGUUAAGAUCUUCAAGGAGUACGUCUCGAUUAAAAGAUGCAAAAAAGCCUCCGGCGAGGAUGAUAAUGAAAUUAGCGAAAGCAGGAGUGACGAAGGUGACUAUUCCAAUUCCAAUCUUGUUGACUCUGAAUCAGGCGAUGAUUCCGAUGAGAGUGAGCGUUGCUCACCGGAAAAUGACCUGACCGCUUCGAGUUCUUCCAAGUUCUGAUCUUCUUGCCAUUCGCCAACUAAGUCUGAGACGUAAAGCAGGUCUGACAACCGACGGUAUCAGCUCUCCGAGGCUCCGACUGCACCUCGCCGCCUCCGCCUACAACUUCGUCUGCAGCAGGUCCGCCUCCCUCUUUGAUAAGCCUACAACACCAUUGGAGCAAUGUGAGUGGCUCAACAAGCUCUAAGCUCUUAAUUGAAGUUUGGACCGAUUUCAUUAGUCCUAAGCUUUCACUCAAAUCCCCAUCCAUUGUUGAGAAGCUGAUGCUUGAAGAACGGGCCACGAAAUUUAAACGACGCCUCUUAGCAACAUUAUUCUUUUAGAAUAAAUUAGUGUAUUUGUUAGAUUUUGAUGUUUUUUUUCCGAUUUGACAGUUUCUUAGUGUUAUUCUUUAACAACAACAAUUGUUACAUGUAUUCUAUAAGAAUUAAUAUAAUUUUUGUUUUAAUUCUUCAA